UAUAAUGCAGUCGAGCGGACAGAUGGGAGCUUGCUCCCUGAUGUUAGCGGCGGACGGGUGAGUAACACGUGGGUAACCUGCCUGUAAGACUGGGAUAACUCCGGGAAACCGGGGCUAAUACCGGAUGGUUGUUUGAACCGCAUGGUUCAGACAUAAAAGGUGGCUUCGGCUACCACUUACAGAUGGACCCGCGGCGCAUUAGCUAGUUGGUGAGGUAACGGCUCACCAAGGCGACGAUGCGUAGCCGACCUGAGAGGGUGAUCGGCCACACUGGGACUGAGACACGGCCCAGACUCCUACGGGAGGCAGCAGUAGGGAAUCUUCCGCAAUGGACGAAAGUCUGACGGAGCAACGCCGCGUGAGUGAUGAAGGUUUUCGGAUCGUAAAGCUCUGUUGUUAGGGAAGAACAAGUGCCGUUCAUCUAGGGCGGCACCUUGACGGUACCUAACCAGAAAGCCACGGCUAACUACGUGCCAGCAGCCGCGGUAAUACGUAGGUGGCAAGCGUUGUCCGGAAUUAUUGGGCGUAAAGGGCUCGCAGGCGGUUUCUUAAGUCUGAUGUGAAAGCCCCCGGCUCAACCGGGGAGGGUCAUUGGAAACUGGGGAACUUGAGUGCAGAAGAGGAGAGUGGAAUUCCACGUGUAGCGGUGAAAUGCGUAGAGAUGUGGAGGAACACCAGUGGCGAAGGCGACUCUCUGGUCUGUAACUGACGCUGAGGAGCGAAAGCGUGGGGAGCGAACAGGAUUAGAUACCCUGGUAGUCCACGCCGUAAACGAUGAGUGCUAAGUGUUAGGGGGUUUCCGCCCCUUAGUGCUGCAGCUAACGCAUUAAGCACUCCGCCUGGGGAGUACGGUCGCAAGACUGAAACUCAAAGGAAUUGACGGGGGCCCGCACAAGCGGUGGAGCAUGUGGUUUAAUUCGAAGCAACGCGAAGAACCUUACCAGGUCUUGACAUCCUCUGACAAUCCUAGAGAUAGGAC
Molecule: ribosomal RNA, 979 nt
Filed under: Bacillus amyloliquefaciens
Lineage: Bacteria; Bacillati; Bacillota; Bacilli; Caryophanales; Bacillaceae
Description: bacterial SSU rRNA
Rfam family: Bacterial small subunit ribosomal RNA
Source: RNAcentral